AAAUUGAAGAGUUUGAUCAUGGCUCAGAUUGAACGCUGGCGGCAGGCUUAACACAUGCAAGUCGAACGGUAACAGGAAGCAGCUUGCUGCUUUGCUGACGAGUGGCGGACGGGUGAGUAAUGUCUGGGAAACUGCCUGAUGGAGGGGGAUAACUACUGGAAACGGUGGCUAAUACCGCAUAACGUCGCAAGACCAA
This 196-nucleotide ribosomal RNA is filed under the name Salmonella enterica subsp. enterica serovar Corvallis. RNAcentral's name for it is "partial 16S ribosomal RNA". It matches the Rfam family "Bacterial small subunit ribosomal RNA", at positions 1 to 204 of the family's 1533-position model. Lineage: Bacteria; Pseudomonadati; Pseudomonadota; Gammaproteobacteria; Enterobacterales; Enterobacteriaceae. The record is from RNAcentral.